AAUUAAGUUAUAUUUGUUUUGUUUAUUUUUUAAGAUUGUAUAACUAUCAUCUAGUUUCUUGUAAUCUAAUGUUGAUCCUGAAAGAAAAAUCCAUAAGAAUACGCAUAAAUGGAUAGUAAUAUUAGGAGAUAAACAUCAUUAGAACAUGAAGUAAUUUACUUAUGAAUCUCUAUCUAUUGUUCGAAAGAAUCGAUAUUCUAUAUUGAUUGUGAGGCAAUGUGAAUGUAUGCAUAACAUUUAUAAUUAUAAGAGAUAGAUUGUAUGCAAAAUUAGAUUUUAAUUUGGAUUCAAUCUUAGCUUUACUGAAAAAACUAAGAUUAUACACUUGUAGUUUGAUUGUUAAUUUAAGAGUUUCACCUGUAGUAUACUAUCUUGUAUUAAUAUCGAUCUAAACCCGUCAAUUUUAGGAUUUUCCAGCUUGUUAAAAAUUGAAUCACAUCAUACACAUUAAAAAUCUAAUAUCCUAUUAAUUAUUGUAGUAUAUAAGAUUAUAAAUUUUCAAUAUAAUAUGUAUGAAAUUGAAUAUAAAUAUUUCAAAUUAUGACCUGUUACUCAGUAGAAAGUUUUCUUAAAUCUAUUUUCACCCGUUAUAAUAUUUUUUCAUGUAUUGAACAGUUUAUAUUCGUUUUUAAAAAUUUAAAUUAUGGCAUAUGCGAAAAAACUCUAAUUAUUUUUUUAUAAUGAUGAUAUUAUUUUUUCGCAAAAAUAGAAUCAUAUAAAGAUGAGAAGU
RNAcentral lists this small RNA (730 nucleotides) under Arabidopsis thaliana (thale cress). RNAcentral's name for it is "ATSL221950". Lineage: Eukaryota; Viridiplantae; Streptophyta; Magnoliopsida; Brassicales; Brassicaceae. The record is from RNAcentral.